Molecule: ribosomal RNA, 1063 nt
Filed under: uncultured Flavobacterium sp.
Lineage: Bacteria; Pseudomonadati; Bacteroidota; Flavobacteriia; Flavobacteriales; Flavobacteriaceae
Description: bacterial SSU rRNA
Rfam family: Bacterial small subunit ribosomal RNA
Source: RNAcentral
AUUCCUACGGGAGGCAGCAGUGAGGAAUAUUGGUCAAUGGGCGCAAGCCUGAACCAGCUAUGCCGCGUGCAGGAUGACGGUCCUAUGGAUUGUAAACUGCUUUUAUACAGGAAGAAACACUCGGACGUGUCCGAGCUUGACGGUACUGUAGGAAUAAGGAUCGGCUAACUCCGUGCCAGCAGCCGCGGUAAUACGGAGGAUCCAAGCGUUAUCCGGAAUCAUUGGGUUUAAAGGGUCCGUAGGCGGCUUAAUAAGUCAGUGGUGAAAUCCCUACGCUUAACGUAGGAACGGCCAUUGAUACUGUUAGGCUUGAAUUAUUAGGAAGUAACUAGAAUAUGUAGUGUAGCGGUGAAAUGCUUAGAGAUUACAUGGAAUACCAAUUGCGAAGGCAGGUUACUACUAAUUGAUUGACGCUGAUGGACGAAAGCGUGGGUAGCGAACAGGAUUAGAUACCCUGGUAGUCCACGCCGUAAACGAUGGAUACUAGCUGUUCGGAGCAAUCUGAGUGGCUAAGCGAAAGUGAUAAGUAUCCCACCUGGGGAGUACGUUCGCAAGAAUGAAACUCAAAGGAAUUGACGGGGGCCCGCACAAGCGGUGGAGCAUGUGGUUUAAUUCGAUGAUACGCGAGGAACCUUACCAAGGCUUAAAUGUAGAUUGACCGGUUUGGAAACAGAUCUUUCGCAAGACAAUUUACAAGGUGCUGCAUGGUUGUCGUCAGCUCGUGCCGUGAGGUGUCAGGUUAAGUCCUAUAACGAGCGCAACCCCUGUCGUUAGUUGCCAGCGAGUCAUGUCGGGAACUCUAACGAGACUGCCAGUGCAAACUGAGAGGAAGGUGGGGAUGACGUCAAAUCAUCACGGCCCUUACGCCUUGGGCUACACACGUGCUACAAUGGCCGGUACAGAGAGCAGCCACUGGGUGACCAGGAGCGAAUCUAUAAAACCGGUCACAGUUCGGAUCGGAGUCUGCACCUCGACUCCGUGAAGCUGGAAUCGCUAGUAAUCGGAUAUCAGCCAUGAUCCGGUGAAUACGUUCCCGGCCCUUGUACACACCGCCAUCCAUAUG